Oryctolagus cuniculus (rabbit) is the source of this 1496-nucleotide non-coding RNA. The record is from RefSeq and is a predicted model, not a curated record. NCBI's taxonomy places the organism in Eukaryota, Metazoa, Chordata, Mammalia, Lagomorpha, Leporidae.
GAGCCAGGUGCUUUUCCUGGUCUCCCAUGGGGUGCAGGGCCCAAGCACCUGGGCCAUCCUCCACUGCACUCCCUGGCCACAGCAGAGGGCUGGCCUGGAAGAGGGGCAACCGGGACAGAAUCCGGCGCCCCGACCGGGACUAGAACCCGGUGUGCCGGCGCCGCUAGGUGGAGGAUUAGCCUAGUGAGCCGCGGCGCCGGCCUUGAUCUCAUCUUUUAAAACCGCCCCCUCUGUGUUCUCAGAGCUCCCCCCACGCUGGGGUCCUCAGCACCCAGGUUCUCGGCCUGGGACGCCUCCCACAUCUCCAAUGGCAGCGUCUUCAGGUCUCGCAGCUCACCCACCCUUUACACAUCUCUGUUCUUUCCCUUUAUUUCUCCUCCAGAUCACACCACCUCACUCUUUCCAAAAUCCUUCACCUGUGGCCAACUGCUAGGUUUCCCUUUUUCUUUUCUUAUUUUUAAAUUUAUUUUAUUUGAAAGACAUCACAGAGACAGAGGGAGACUGACAGAGGUCUCCCAUUCUAGUUCACUCCCAAAACUCCCACAACACCCGGGGCUGGGCCAAGCCAAAUCCAGGAGCUCAGAAAUCAGUUUGGGUCUCUCAUGUGGGUGGCAGGGACCCAAGUACUUGGGCCAUCACCAUUAGCAAGAAGCUGGAAUCUGGAGUGUCGCCGGGACUUGAACCCGGUCACUGUGAUAUGGGAUGUGGGCGUUCCAAGUGGUGGCUUAACGACCAUGCCAGAUGCCAGCCCCUCUGAGCUCACCGUAACUCAUCUCCCCAGGGAGGCCUUUCCUGCCACCAGCUCGCUCCGUCACACGUCACAUGUCCGUCUUACCGACAACUCGGCACUUAGCGCUGUCUCCGUCCUUUGGUCGCAACCUGCCUCUCCUCUCGGUCCCGAGCUCCGGGAGUGCAGACCCCUGCCUGUCUCCCACCUGCCCUGUGUCUACCGUGGCGUCUCCAUCAAUCCUGCUUGAAUAAGUGAGUGAAGAGUUGAACUGCCCUUCCUUUUGCUUCGUUCCCGUCCGCCAGGCCAGCUGCCUGACAGGAGUCCAUGAGCCUGGUCAUCGUCACCAUCAUCACGACCUGCCAUUCAGACUGCCAGGCUGCACCAGCCGCAGAUGGGAACCCGGCCGUCCCCUUGAUCCUCACAAAAGCGGAACCCGUGAGAUUAGCGCUGGCAUUGCCCAGCUGGAGUCCCUCCAGGAAGAGAAGCCUCGCCUCCUACCUGCUGAUCCUCUGAAGUGCAGAGCACAAGGCCAGGAGAAUAACUUCUUCUUUCUCGUCCUCAGUCCCAGUCUUCGAAACACUGAGUGUCUCUCCAGCAUCAGCAACGGUGACCAUUUUUUAAAAUCAUUUUUAGAACCAUUGUGAACUCAUGCAUUUAAACAUUUGAUGUAUUUUAGUCUAUUACAGUUCUUAUUGAUAUUCAAAUUAUCCUCUUUGACCUCUGGAAAUCUGUUCAACAUGGCUCCUGAGUCCCUGCACACAUCCAA